Saccostrea cuccullata (small rock oyster) is the source of this 245-nucleotide long non-coding RNA. RefSeq lists it as uncharacterized. NCBI's taxonomy places the organism in Eukaryota, Metazoa, Mollusca, Bivalvia, Ostreida, Ostreidae. The transcript has 4 exons. The record is from RefSeq and is a predicted model, not a curated record.
UAUUACAAAACAUUAUCAGAUCUGUUCCCCAAAAAAGGCCUCACAAACAGCAACUUGAUAAAUACAGACAUCAUUGCAUUUUCCCUUGCCAGUGGAGAAACAGAAAAGCUAGAUCCACCUCUGAAACUUGAGUUUGUACUACAACAGGAUAUUGGAGAUGAAAAUGCAAUAUGCAGUUACUGGGAUUUUAAUCAAAGUGCGUGGUCAGACCGAGGCUGCUACACCGUUUUUCAGAAACGCUACCC